RNAcentral lists this transfer RNA (73 nucleotides) under Vicugna pacos (alpaca). RNAcentral's name for it is "tRNA-Ala (AGC) (tRNA-Ala-AGC-248-1)". It matches the Rfam family "tRNA". From Rfam's summary of the family: Transfer RNA (tRNA) molecules are approximately 80 nucleotides in length. Lineage: Eukaryota; Metazoa; Chordata; Mammalia; Artiodactyla; Camelidae. The record is from RNAcentral.
GGAGGGUGUAGCUCAGUGGUAGAGCGCAUGCUUAGCAUGCACGAGGUCCUGGGUUCAAUCCCCAGUACCUCCA